AAUGAUGAUGAUUGGCUCAUGAGCCGAUUUCGUUUCCCCAGGCCAGUAUUACUGGAGCUGUGCGCAGAGCUGCGGCCGGCCCUAGAGCGCCACACAGCCAGGAGCCAGGGGUUGUCCGUGCCCACACAGGUGCUGACCACGCUGGGGUUCCUGGCAACAGGGGCCUUCCAGCGGGAGCUGGCCGAUCGGUCAGGAGUGUGCCAGUCCACCCUGAGCCGAGCCAUGCCAGCUGUGUGGGACGGAAUCAUCAUAUGAGAUUAAUAUGAGUCUAGACCGGCCUCAUAUGCAUUAAUGCAUUAAUAUGAGAUAAUUAAUGCAUUCAAAGCCGAGCCACGCCGCCUUGCCCUGUGAAUUCAGUUGCAGCGCAAAUAUAGCAGCAAAUACGUUACAUUCUUAACCCAGCAGCGGUGUUGUUCAGAUACUGAUUAAAUGGGUUUGUUAACCAUUCGUAAUAGUAUGGCUCCAUGAGUAUGCGCACACGUUCUAUGUGUUCUUCAUCUCUGGGCACUGCGUCCCUUUAUGUUUUGCAGCGGUUGCAUUUGUUCUCUGUUAAAAUACAUGGUUAAUGUAUUAUUUUGGAGUUAAUAAAUUUGAAAAAA
This is a long non-coding RNA of Gadus morhua (Atlantic cod), 599 nucleotides long. RefSeq lists it as uncharacterized. The transcript has 2 exons. Lineage: Eukaryota; Metazoa; Chordata; Actinopteri; Gadiformes; Gadidae. The record is from RefSeq and is a predicted model, not a curated record.